Molecule: ribosomal RNA, 371 nt
Filed under: uncultured Glomeromycotina
Lineage: Eukaryota; Fungi; Glomeromycota
Description: LSU rRNA
Source: RNAcentral
UUGAAAGGGAAACGAUUGAAGUCAGUCGGACUCUCGAGAAAUCAACUUAUCGUGUGCGNNNUUGUGGGCGUGCGUGAGUUUCGGCCUCGCUGUUUGCAUGUUUGUGUGCUUUGGGUGUACUUUUUCGUAUGGUAGGCCAACGUCAGUUUCGAUCACUAUAAAAUGACUGGCGGAAUGUAGCUUCGAUUUCGGUUGAAGUGUUAUAGCCUCUGGUAGAUGUGGUGAUUGGGACUGAGGAUUGCAACGAAUAUCCUUUGGGCUAUCCGUCUGAUCUCUGAAAGUUGCUCAGGUGCCGAAAGCGUGCUUACGGUUAUCUAAGUUGACGGUCAACAGGUUAGAACGUGAUUACAUUCGUUAAGGAUGUUGACGUA